Conger conger (European conger) is the source of this 1493-nucleotide long non-coding RNA. RefSeq lists it as uncharacterized. The transcript has 3 exons. The record is from RefSeq and is a predicted model, not a curated record. Lineage: Eukaryota; Metazoa; Chordata; Actinopteri; Anguilliformes; Congridae.
AACAGGAAGACCAGAGCGUCUGCCAAAUGCCAUUAAUGUAAUGUACCUGCUGCUGCUCACUGGAUGUUUUUUGUUUUUCACACAAUUCUCUGCAAACUCUAGAGACUGUUGUGUGUGAAAAUCCCAGGAGACCAGCAGUUUCUGAGAUACUCAAAACACCCCGUCUGGCACCAACAAUCAUUCCAUGGUCAAAGUCACUUAGAUCACAUUUCUUCCCCAUUCUGACAUUUGACCGAGGAGCCUCCUCCCAGCCCACAUCAGCUGUACAGUGUCUGUUUCAAGCAGCUGUCCAGUGGGGAUUGGUUGAUGCCCUCGUAGGGCAUUCUGGGAAGACUGGGAGACCGGGAUGUAGGGCAAGCAUCUGGUUCGAAUGUGAAACUUGGCAGAGAACGGCCCUGACUCGAGCCCUGUGAUGUGGGGGGCUGUCGCCGUGCCAGCCUUGGAUGUGUCUGAUUGCUGGACAGAUCCAGAAUGUGCUUGGCAGAGGGGAACCAUGUUCUGCUGCUCUGUCACCUGACUGCGGGUCUUGCCCCAGCCACACCACCACACAGUGUCUGGGGGAAGGCCACUACUGGCAGGAGGGACCUAACCUCAAAAUCUACCAGCAUCAACUCCAGCCUCCCCCCCCUCCUCCCCCAACCACCACCUGCAGCCAGGAGGUGCACUGAAAUGAAUGUGCCUCCGAGUUAUUCAUUUCCAUGGCGAUUUAUGUUAUGGGAUGGUAAUAUUAUUCUCCUGAAUGGCAAUCAAUCCAAGAGAAUAAUCUCCGCGAUUCUAAGGGAGUGUCCAAACAGAAAAAUUAAAUGACUGUGUGAUUCCACAGCACAACACAGAUAAUUUGCUCCACUUAACUGUCUUUAGUCUCUUCCGCGCCACUCAAUCUGAGAAUAUCUAAUAUCUGAAGCUUAUUUUAAAAACGAAUUUGGAUAGUCUCACAGGAGCGCAAAUGGAGCCAGGCGUAUGUGUGCAUUUGUGCACACAUAUGUGUGUCUGCAUGUAUGUAAGGAUGUGUGUUUGUGCGCACGCGUGUUCUUGUGUGAAUGCGUUUUCUACAUUUGCUUGAGCAUAAUGUACAUGUAUGUCCAUGUGUGUGUGUGUUCUUAUCUGUACAUGCAUGUCGAGCUGAGACACAGGGACUAGGGAUACGAGCUAAAUACAAUUUAUGAUACAUAGUCUAUUGUAUCAAUGCCAACAUAUUUAUAUUGCAUUUGGUGUGCAGUAUUUUCACCACUAAUAGUGGCUAUCUUGAACAUGUGAAUAGUGGACAUGUGCAGUUGUAUACAGUAGAAUAGCUAUUCAAUUUAGAUGUGCUUCAUGCACUUCAUGUUUUUGAUGCUGUCAAACAAAAUAUUUUCAUGUUUGUCUGUGCUAUACUGUCAUUUUCACAAAUAGUACAUUGUACAUUUUUAGUUUGGACAAUUUUCGGCAUUAUUAAAAUUAAAAUGCUUAUAUCAUAUUGUAAUCUUACAUAAAAUUUACUUAUGUAAAGUAAA